Molecule: ribosomal RNA, 460 nt
Filed under: uncultured bacterium
Lineage: Bacteria
Description: partial 16S ribosomal RNA
Rfam family: Bacterial small subunit ribosomal RNA
Source: RNAcentral
CCUACGGGGGGCAGCAGUGAGGAAUAUUGGUCAAUGGACGAGAGUCUGAACCAGCCAAGUAGCGUAAAGGAUGUCUGCCCUAUGGGUUGUAAACUUCUUUUAUAUGGGAAUAAAAUGUUCCACGUGUGGGAUUUUGUAUGUACCAUAUGAAUAAGGAUCGGCUAACUCCGUGCCAGCAGCCGCGGUAAUACGGAGGAUCCGAGCGUUGUCCGGAUUUAUUGGGUUUAAAGGGAGCGUAGGUGGAUUGUUAAGUCAGUUGUGAAAGUUUGCGGCUUAACCGUAAAAUUGCAGUUGAAACUGGCAGUCUUGAGUACAGUAGAGGUGAGCGGAAUUCGAGGUGUAGCGGUGAAAUGCGUAGAUAUCACGAAGAACUCCGAUUGCGAAGGCAGUUCACUGGACUGCAACUGACACUGAGGCUCGAAAGUGUGGGUAUCAAACAGGAUUAGAUACCCGGGUAGUC